Molecule: non-coding RNA, 252 nt
Organism: Pelobates cultripes (western spadefoot toad)
Lineage: Eukaryota; Metazoa; Chordata; Amphibia; Anura; Pelobatidae
Source: the annotation of a GenBank genome assembly
CUUCAUAAAGCCAAAGAUCUUUGCCAUUAUACAUUUAGUAUUUUUCCAAAGUUCUACACGUAGUUUCUGAUAUAACGAACAAUAAACUCACCAUCACGGAUACAAGUCAGACUUUAUGAUUCAAUGCUUUAUUGAAAGAAUUGAAGUGAACUGAAGUACUGUAGAUGUCAAAAUGAAAUGAUCUCCAAAAAUCCAAAGAUAUUUAUUUAAAAUGGGAUAUAUUUUAUUUUAAGAUGUGUUCCACAAUUCAUU